CAUAGACUUAUGAGACGAGUACAU
Molecule: microRNA, 24 nt
Filed under: Brachypodium distachyon (stiff brome)
Lineage: Eukaryota; Viridiplantae; Streptophyta; Magnoliopsida; Poales; Poaceae
Description: bdi-miR7784b-3p
Source: miRBase by way of RNAcentral